This 477-nucleotide ribosomal RNA is filed under the name Nippontonia minirostris. Its description in RNAcentral is "partial 16S ribosomal RNA". It matches the Rfam family "Bacterial large subunit ribosomal RNA", at positions 1925 to 2614 of the family's 2925-position model. Lineage: Eukaryota; Metazoa; Arthropoda; Malacostraca; Decapoda; Palaemonidae. The record is from RNAcentral.
AAAGGGCCGCGGUAAUUUGACCGUGCGAAGGUAGCAUAAUAAUUAGUUUUUUAAUUGGAGACUUGUAUGAAUGGUUGGAUGAGAGAUAAUCUGUCUCUUUCUUAUGGGUAGAAUUUAACUUUUAAGUGAAAAGGCUUAGAUUAUAUGAAGUGACGAUAAGACCCUGUAAAACUUUAUAUGGUUUUUUUUGAAUUAAGAAUUAUAGCAUAAAUUAAUUUAGAUUGAAUUAUAUUUUGUUGGGGAAACAAUGAUAUAAAUUUAAUUGUCUGUGGAAUUUAAUAAUUAUAAUUAGAUUGUGAUCCUUUAUUAUGGAUUAAAAGGUUAAGUUACUUCAGGGAUAACAGCGUAAUUUUCUCUGAGAGUUCUUAUCGACGAGAGUAGUUGCGACCUCGAUGUUGAAUUAAAAUUUCAGUAAGGUGUAGCCGCUUUUCUGGUAGGUCUGUUCGACCUUUAAAAUUUUACAUGAUUUGAGUUCAG